Molecule: ribosomal RNA, 511 nt
Filed under: uncultured bacterium
Lineage: Bacteria
Description: bacterial SSU rRNA
Rfam family: Bacterial small subunit ribosomal RNA
Source: RNAcentral
UCUGGCUCAGAACGAACGCUGGCGGCGCGUCUUAAGCAUGCAAGUCGAACGGCAAGAGGUAGCAAUACCUCCUAGAGUGGCGGACUGGUGAGUAACACGUGGGUGACAUACCCUUCAGAUGGGGAUAGCUAUUAGAAAUAGUAGAUAAUACCGAAUACGAGCACGGGGGUUAGAGAUCUGUGAGGAAAGGAGCUAAGGCUCCGCUGAAGGAAUGGCCUGCGGCCCAUUAGCUAGUUGGUGAGGUAAGAGCCCACCAAGGCGAUGAUGGGUAUCCGGCCUUAGAGGGUGAACGGACACAUUGGGACUGAGAUACGGCCCAGACUCCUACGGGAGGCAGCAGCUAAGAAUAUUCCGCAACGGACGAAAGUCUGACGGAGCGACGCCGCGUGGAUGAAGAAGGCCGGAAGGUUGUAAAAUCCUUUUGAAACUGAAGAAUAAGCGUUGUAGGGAAUGACAGCGUGGUGACAGUAGGUUUUGAAUAAGCAACGGCUAAUUACGUGCCAGCCGCCGC